This 253-nucleotide ribosomal RNA is filed under the name uncultured bacterium. RNAcentral describes it as "partial 16S ribosomal RNA". It matches the Rfam family "Bacterial small subunit ribosomal RNA", at positions 524 to 776 of the family's 1533-position model. The record is from RNAcentral.
UACGAAGGGGGCUAGCGCUGUUCGGAAUUACUGGGCGUAAAGCGCACGUAGGCGGAUAUUUAAGUCAGGGGUGAAAUCCCAGAGCUCAACUCUGGAACUGCCUUUGAUACUGGGUAUCUUGAGUAUGGAAGAGGUAAGUGGAAUUGCGAGUGUAGAGGUGAAAUUCGUAGAUAUUCGCAGGAACACCAGUGGCGAAGGCGGCUUACUGGUCCAUAACUGACGCUGAGGUGCGAAAGCGUGGGGAGCAAACAGG